RNAcentral lists this ribosomal RNA (255 nucleotides) under uncultured soil bacterium. Its description in RNAcentral is "partial 16S ribosomal RNA". It matches the Rfam family "Bacterial small subunit ribosomal RNA", at positions 26 to 285 of the family's 1533-position model. The record is from RNAcentral.
AGGACGAACGCUGGCGGCGUGCUUAACACAUGCAAGUCGAGCGAGGCUCUCCUUCGGGAGAUGUCCUAGCGGCGAACGGGUGAGUAACACGUGGGCAACCUGCCUCUAGCUCUGGGAUAACUCCGGGAAACCGGGGCUAAUACCGGAUACGACCUCGAGCGGCAUCUAUCGAGGUGGAAAGUUUUCGGCUAGAGAUGGGCCCGCGGCCUAUCAGCUUGUUGGUGAGGUAACGGCCCACCAAGGCGACGACGGGUA